Prionailurus viverrinus (fishing cat) is the source of this 2140-nucleotide long non-coding RNA. RefSeq lists it as uncharacterized. Lineage: Eukaryota; Metazoa; Chordata; Mammalia; Carnivora; Felidae. The record is from RefSeq and is a predicted model, not a curated record. The transcript has 2 exons.
GCUGGAGGGCAGUUGCAGUCCCGUUUGACGCUCUGUCCCAAGGUCUAGCUAGGACAGUGCCCGGCACACAGAAGUCGCUCAAUUAAUAGUUGUUGAGCCAAGGGCACCUAUGGGUCCGAGCUGUUUUCAGACCAAUCGCACGGUCUCCGGGGCAGGUCACAUCCCAGCCGCCUUGUGGGGGUCCCCUGGCUUAUCAUCUUCCUCCCCGAAAGGGGUGGAGCCUGAGAGACUGUGUUCUCAUGAAGCAGCUGGUGAAUUAGGGCCCGGAGAAGUUUCCCUGAAGUCUUUAACUCGCCACUGAGAUACGGUUCUAGAUAAAGGCAGGGCGAGUGGGUCGGGGCGGUGAGAGUCUCGGGCGCUCACCCCCUCACCCCUGUCCCUUCCUCAGGGGAAUUCAUUGGUAGCAAAAAAGAGGACUUUAGGAAAUAGCCGUGUUUAAAAGGGCCCUGCUUAAUGUUCCCUUUAAUUAGAAUGGGUUUCACUUGACAUUUUUUGCUGACCCGCCGGGGGAGGGGAGCCCCCGCCUGAGUGAUUGCCCACUGACCCCGGGAUUCCUGUGUCUCAGUUACGCCCCGUUUGUGGGCUCCCUCAGCAGAGUUCAAAAGAAUGGCUUUUUCUACAGUAGAGCAACAGCCAGAGCGCAAAGAGUCACUCCCCCUGGUCCGGACGCUUCUGUGGGAACCUGGGCCGGGACAUUCCUCUGAAAGAAGAAUGUGCACACGGGGGACCGCUGGGUCCCUGCCAAGCCUGGUCGUUCAACAGGCUCAACAGGCAGGGCCUGAGCCCUAGGGAAGCCAGGUUCCGCACCGCGCCUGGGGAUGGGGACGGGGCGGGGGGGGGGGGGGGGGGGCGGCAAGGUAGGCGUGCACCUGCCCCCGGGGCACUCUCACCCAGGCCGAGAGGUGGCCCCCGUGCCGCGGCGACUCUCGCAAGGUGGGACACGAUGUGAAAGGCCAAGUGCUGGGGGAGCCCAGGGGAGGCGCCUGACUCCAGCCGGGGCAGGACAGGCCUUCACAGGGACAGCUCUGUCUAAGGUGGGACCUCGCGUGAGUCAGGACGAGCGAGGCCGGGCUGCACUAACAAACAGGCUCCGGUCUGAGGGUCUCAACACAACAGAGUUCGGUUCUUUACUCUCGUCUCGGGCCAGCAAGGGUCUUCUUGGUGGGUCCCCUCGAGCAGCGACGCGGGGAUCCAGGUCUGUGGUGGGAGCGAGGCACCCGGUUCGAACUGCCUCGACCCGGAUGGCAUCUGGAGAGACCGAGGGCCGCAGUUCCAGGGAAGCUGAGGGAGGUUUCCCCUGAACCCAAGAAGAGGCAACGGAGUGAGACCCACAGAGCCCCAGGUCAAGCCGGAGAGUGAGAAAGUGAGGCACCGAGCAAUUCGACGAGGUCCCGGGGCCACCUGAGAGGCCAGUGGCUGGCCCGAGGUUCGACCCAGCCCAUCUGACCUCACAGCCCCCGCAGUCACGCCCCGGGUGACACGGCCACCAGGCUGGACGCGAAACGGCCGCCGGCUUUCCUGACGCGGGGUGCCUCGAGGACAGUCGGAGCCUCUAGCCGCCAGGGAAGGUACUGGCUCACGUCGGAAAUUACGCCUUGCGUGAAACCGGGGUCGAACCGCGCCCUGGCUGUCGCCCGCUGGCAUUCCCGGGGAACGAGACCUCUCAGCCUGGUCCCCGGGGCUUGUCGGCGGAAUUACCACGCCUGGAAUGUAGGACCCGCUGCCUUAGCUCAGAAGACGGGUGCUGAUUAAAAUAUCCUGUGCCACCAUGUGGAAACUACAGACGGGCGCCCACAGCCGGCCCCCUGCUGAGGGGCACAGCCGUGGGGCCAGGGUGACUCAAGGGCCCUGGAGGUCAGACUGGGAAGAGCGGACCCCACCAGUUGAGUCCGGUCAUCGCACGUGAGCCCUACGGCUGCCCUGCAAGCGAGUCACUGUCUCCAUCCUGCAGACGAGGAGAUGGGGCCCCAAAGCGGGAAAGCCACUUGCCUGAGGCCACCCGGCCAGCGCGUGGCACAGCCAGCCACAAACCCAGAGGUGUGGACUCUAUUCACCUCUUCCACAAAUACAUCUUGAAUCGGGCUUGUUCAGAGCCAGGUUCCGGCACAGGGGCUGGGAAUAAAUAAAUUUUAAAAAAUGA